CCUACGUGUGGCAGCAGUGAGGAAUAUUGGUCAAUGGACGCGAGCCUGAACCAGCCAAGUAGCGUGAAGGAUGACUGCCCUACGGGUUGUAAACUUCUUUUAGAAAGGAAUAAAAGGAGGCACGUGAGCCUUUUUUUAUGUAUUUUAUGAAUAAGGAUAGGCUAACUCCGUGCCAGCAGCCGCGGUAAUACGGAGGAGCAGAGCGUUAUCCGGAUUUAUUGGGUUUAAAGGGAGCGUAGAUGGGUUGUUAAGUCAGUUGUGAAAGUUUGCGGCUCAACCGUAAGAUUGCAAUUGAUACUGGCAGUCUUGAGUACAGUCGAGGUAGGCGGAAUUCGUGGUGUAGCGGUGAAAUGCUUAGAUAUCACGAAGAACUCCGAUUGCGAAGGCAGCUUACUAAACUGCCACUGACAUUGAUGCUCGAAAGUGUGGGUAUCAAACAGGAUUAGAUACCCCUGUAGUC
This 460-nucleotide ribosomal RNA is filed under the name uncultured bacterium. RNAcentral's name for it is "partial 16S ribosomal RNA". It matches the Rfam family "Bacterial small subunit ribosomal RNA", at positions 338 to 795 of the family's 1533-position model. The record is from RNAcentral.